Molecule: ribosomal RNA, 529 nt
Filed under: uncultured bacterium
Lineage: Bacteria
Description: bacterial SSU rRNA
Rfam family: Bacterial small subunit ribosomal RNA
Source: RNAcentral
AAUAGAUACCCGGGUAGUCCAUGCCGUAAACGUUGGGCACUAGGUGUGGGGCUCAUUCCACGAGUUCCGUGCCGCAGCAAACGCAUUAAGUGCCCCGCCUGGGGAGUACGGCCGCAAGGCUAAAACUCAAAGGAAUUGACGGGGGCCCGCACAAGCGGCGGAGCAUGCGGAUUAAUUCGAUGCAACGCGAAGAACCUUACCAAGGCUUGACAUGCACGGGAAGCCACCAGAGAUGGUGGUCUCUUUGGACACUCGUGCACAGGUGGUGCAUGGUUGUCGUCAGCUCGUGUCGUGAGAUGUUGGGUUAAGUCCCGCAACGAGCGCAACCCUCGUCCCAUGUUGCCAGCGGGUUAUGCCGGGGACUCAUGGGAGACUGCCGGGGUCAACUCGGAGGAAGGUGGGGAUGACGUCAAAUCAUCAUGCCCCUUAUGUCUUGGGCUUCACGCAUGCUACAAUGGCCGGUACAAAGGGCUGCGAUACCGUAAGGUGGAGCGAAUCCUAAAAAGCCGGUCUCAGUUCGGAUUGGGGU